Molecule: long non-coding RNA, 2152 nt
Organism: Phasianus colchicus (ring-necked pheasant)
Lineage: Eukaryota; Metazoa; Chordata; Aves; Galliformes; Phasianidae
Source: Ensembl
GGGCAACGGUGAGCAGCAGAAAAAAGGUGCUGCUGGUGGGAGUGCUGGGAAAUUGCUGGUAGAAAUGGAAAAGAUCACCAUCCUCAUCAGCUCCUGCUCAACAUCCUGUCCCUAAGAGCUUAGCUCUGCCUGUGAGCAGGUCUGUGUCAGGGCAGCUAUGCUUGCCUGAGUUGUUAUCAUAUCUAAGAGAUAAAACUAUGUCUGGAGAGCACACUGAGAGCAUGAUGUUGAUAAGAAUGGAGUUUGGGGGUGGGAUUUGCCACCUUCCAGUUAGCAUAGAUAAUGUUGCCUACAAGUAUCUUUUUCUAAAACCUUCCUUUCUCCCGUCUGCGUUCUGCCUCCAGCAAACCCAGUCAAUGCUCAGUUUGUUUGGUGCUUGAGACUAUUCCACAUUUCAUUACCUUAUGCUCCAUCUUACUCAUUGAUUGAUUGACUGAUUGAUUGCUAUUGAGAUCCUUUGGCUGAUAUUUUUUUUCUGGCAAAGGAAGAGACAAAGAAUGCUUUAGAUCAGGGCCAGCUGCUGUUGUGAGUCAAAAGUCAUCUUCUGUCUAAAGACACUAAUUGAAAUUUUUUUUAAUUUCAGAGCACAGGGUUCUGCUGCCCUACACAUUCUGUCCCAAAGUCAAAUCUCGUGAAGACUCUUUGAAGACUUUCUUGAAGAACAACUCCAGUGGAUGAGGGUCAUGUGAGAGAGCUGAGUCCAAGCAACUUUUCAGCCAACAAAAUUCUUGCAGGAUCUGCAAAUGAUCCAGGAAUAGUUCUUGGAUGAACAGGGAGCCCAGAGCAAUGCAAGAUAAUUGCCAAGGACAAGACUAGGUCAAUCCAAGCCUGGAGCAUUUGUCAAUUUAGCCACAGUAAUUCCAGCAGACAUGCACAACUCUGUCCCUGCUUGAGAGCAUAGACCUAGGGAACCUCUGAGCUGCAGAAGUCUGGAGCUUUCUCCUGUAUGCAGUCACUUCAGCAAUGGUGAAUGUUUGCGUGCCUAAGUGCAACAGCUCCAGGAAUGCUACAGAUGUGUUGCUCCUAAUAACGAGGUCAGAUCAAGAUUGUGUUGCAAUUAUGAGGGAAGAUCUAUAUUUAUCGCAUGAAAAGAAUCUGUACAGAAGCCACAGCUGUAUCUCCGCCUGGCACGGCAUUUCCAGUCUGCACUAAUGCUGUAGAACCUUCUGGUAAGGAAAACUCUGGCACUGUGCAGUCAGUGCUACAGGUCCUUCUUCUCUUUUGCUUGAAAUGCCAUUGGAGAUGCUAAAAAACCCUUUCUUCCUUUCUUCUAUGAUGACAGUUAGAAAUGGAACACUGAAAUUCACACGUGUGUUUGCAAGAGCUGGGACUUCAAGAGAAAUAUCAAAUAACUUUGGUCACAGCAGAAAAGCAGACAAAUGCAGUUCUAGGUAAUAUUUGCUGCAGAGUUCCAGUUAUACUUUGGCAUUCACUUGCUGUCUCAUAGCCUCAUGCAGUUGUAUCUGAGUACCUUAUAGUCUGCUGAACCUCUGUCCUCAGAACAUCCGUGUGAAAAACUGCCGACCAAUUUUCCCAGGAGAUGCAAUAGGGAUUGGCAAAAGAAGUUCAUAACUGUUCCAGUAUCAGCCUCUCAUCAAUUCACUCUUGACAAAGGUUACGCUGGAAAAUUGGUUUCCCCCAGCACAAAAACAAUGUGAUCAGUGGCAUUCUGUAAUGAUGAAAGAUGCUCUUUUUGUAAAAGGCCUUAGCUAGAGAGCUGUAAAAUACAAACUCUGUUUGUAAAAUCUAUUGUAACAUCUAAGAUCAGUUUUGGCUCUGCCAAUGCUUCCUCAGUAAAUGCUUGUGGACAAAGCAAGUCUUCCUCUGUCUCAGUUCCAUGUGUGAAAUGCACAGCUCUGAUUCAGCACUCCCAUUACUGGUCCAGAUGAGCUGGGAUAUUUAAGGAUAUCAGUUCACCGCUGUGUGAAUUCCAGCAGUGCUCUGCAGAUACAAUUCAGACAUGCAGAUGCUGCCUUAGAAAGCUUGCCUGUCCCUCUGGAGCCUGUCACUGGGCAUUUUCAUUACCACAACCAAUUUAUGCCCCAAAUAAUCAAUGAGUAAGCGUUGGGAGUGCUGAGGUCUGUGUAUCUAAUCCUCUGCUCUCAUUCUGAUUACAUUUUUUUCAACUGCUUCCACUACAGUGUGAAUUGUU